GACAGAGGAUGCAAGCGUUAUCCGGAAUGAUUGGGCGUAAAGCGUCUGUAGGUGGCUUUUUAAGUCUGCUGUCUAAUCCCAGGGCUUAACCCUGGACAGGCGGUGGAAACUACCAAGCUGGAGUACGGUAGGGGCAGGGGGAAUUUCCGGUGGAGCGGUGAAAUGCGCAGAUAUCAGGAGGAACACCGGUGGCGAAGGCGGAUCUCUGGGCCGUAACUGACGCUGAGGAGCGAAAGCAUGGGGAGCGAACAGG
RNAcentral lists this ribosomal RNA (253 nucleotides) under uncultured bacterium. Its description in RNAcentral is "partial 16S ribosomal RNA". It matches the Rfam family "Bacterial small subunit ribosomal RNA", at positions 524 to 776 of the family's 1533-position model. The record is from RNAcentral.